UCCUUUGGGUGGUCUGGUGCCUUCGAUUCCACACACGUGACCUCAUUUUGGGAGCUCUGGAGGUGGGCGACGGCGGCGGCGGCGGUGACCACCAUGGAGUUCCUGAUGCAGCCUAUCCGCGGAUCCUGUUUGCUUGUAGAGGUGGGUGAGAGUUUGGUGGCGGCGCCGGUGGUGGCGGAGCCGUCUGUGGUGGACUGGUGGAUAUGGUGGUGGAGCAUCAGGUGGCGUUGCAGGAGACGGUGGAACACGGGAUGCCGGCGGAGGAGCGUCCGGUUGGCACAGCGGACGCACAGAUCUUGGCAGCCACUGAAGCGGCGGCAGAGAGGAGAGAUAGCUCGCCACCGAGCUCGUAGCUGUCAACUGGGAAGAUGAACCCCCGUGCGCCUGGAUGGAAUAAGAGGCUGAAAAACCUUCCAUUGGAACAAGAAAACAUGGUUGCAGUUGCUUUGUGUUAUUGUUGCUGCUGCAGGCUACAGAUUUGCCUGUGGGUUAAACCAAAUGGUUCUUCAAUCCUGGGUAUUUAAGUUUAUAGAUGGUCGUGUCGAAGGCAAUGACCGUGGCCCAGAAUCGUUUUGCUCCAUCUGAUCAAUGGCCCGGAUAAGUCGCUUUCCGUGAAGGGCGGCAAUGCCGAUAUCAAUGCAGACCCAUAGUCAUUCCCUAAAAAAAAUGCAGACCCAUAGUCUUCUUCCCAACCGCUGCCGCCAUUUCUGCUACGUGACGAGGGAGAGAGGGAAGAAGUGGAAGAACAGGCGAGCGCCACUCAAAUGGAGUUUCUCAUGCAGCCAAUAGGUGAUCCACGUUGAGUUAGGAGGUCGAAGAGAGUCUUCUGACGGAAGCCUCGCUGGCGGACGGCAUCAGGCGAACGCUGGUGGAGGUGCCGUUGCCGGAGGGCACGUAUGUGAGCGUCGAUGGGCGGAUCUGCGUGGCGACUGGACUGGCGACGAUGUCCGGAUAUGGGUGAAUCUGUACUGCGGCUGAAGCGGCAGCAGUGAGAAGAGACAGCUCGCCUCCGACUUCUGAGCUCACCACGGGGAAGAUGAAUCCCCAGGCUCCUGGUUGGAAUAAGAGGUUGAGAAUUGGUGCCGCUGGUCCUAGCAGUCGCGUAAGCACAUUUGAGAAAUGGUGCAGGGUGUCCUACGAGGUAAAAAAUGGACGGGAGGUAAUGAGUUUGAAUACUAAUGCGGGCAGUUUGAACACAAACAUGCCAUCAGUAAAACAAGAAGAAGGUUCUGAAGAUGGUGAUGUUGUGCAAAAGGUUGAGCCGAUAGAUGACGUGCAUCUAGAUGGUUCAGUUUGCUCGGCAACUUGCAGCAGAGCUGGAUAUGGAAUGUGAACAGAUGAAAAAAAAUAUUUUUUUUACUGAUUUCCUACAUGCAGUAGCAACUUAUAAUUGUAAGCUUAUUUUUGUGUUCUUUUUUGCAGUUGGGAUGGAGAUAGCAUCCUGUGCACUGGCUGUGAAUGUCAAUACGGGUUUUGUUCACCGGGUUCACAUCUCUGACUAUGAAAGCAACGACGAAGCUGGUUGAGACCGCCAGAAAGCUGGUUGUUCACAUUUCUGAUGAUCCUGAGCACGCAAAGCUGGUUGAGACCGCCAGAAAGCUAAGGGAGCAAGAGAAGGAAGAUGAAGAUGUCACGAAGAAAUAUCAAGAAAUAUAUGAUAAAAGUAAUGAUCCAAAAGAAGAAGACCGGGAGGUUGCAAUGAUGUAUCAAAUAUGGUGUGAUGUAAAACAUGGUGGCCAUGUGUUGGACAUGAAUGAACUAAGGAAUUUACGUUUUGCUGCAGCAACUGAAGUGGAGAUCGCCAGUGUGACAGCAAACUGAAACCUUACUCAGGAGGUCGAGAACAAAGCCCCGUGGUGGGUGGUUGUAGAGAUGCAGCUGCUCAGGUUGGUCAAAAUGGCAAUGAGAGUUCUCGUUGCUGGCAGGCAAG
Molecule: long non-coding RNA, 1930 nt
Organism: Triticum dicoccoides
Lineage: Eukaryota; Viridiplantae; Streptophyta; Magnoliopsida; Poales; Poaceae
Exons: 7
Source: RefSeq, a predicted model, not a curated record